AGUUCAGUGCACUGGCUGCUUUUCCAGA
This 28-nucleotide non-coding RNA is filed under the name Mus musculus (house mouse). The record is from RNAcentral. Lineage: Eukaryota; Metazoa; Chordata; Mammalia; Rodentia; Muridae.